ACGCUCGACACCUACGGGGGGCAGCAGUGGGGAAUAUUGCACAAUGGGGGAAACCCUGAUGCAGCGAUGCCGCGUGAGUGAAGAAGUAUUUCGGUAUGUAAAGCUCUAUCAGCAGGGAAGAAGAUGACGGUACCUGAGUAAGAAGCCCCGGCUAACUACGUGCCAGCAGUCGCGGUAAUCUGAGCGGGCUGGCAAGGC
RNAcentral lists this ribosomal RNA (198 nucleotides) under uncultured bacterium. RNAcentral describes it as "partial 16S ribosomal RNA". It matches the Rfam family "Bacterial small subunit ribosomal RNA", at positions 328 to 539 of the family's 1533-position model. The record is from RNAcentral.